UGCCAAUGAUGUUUAAAAGUAAUAUAUAUUCUCAGAUUUUAAAAAACUGAUGAAAAUCUCUAGAUUGUCACUACCUCUGAGGCA
Molecule: small nucleolar RNA, 84 nt
Filed under: Spinacia oleracea (spinach)
Lineage: Eukaryota; Viridiplantae; Streptophyta; Magnoliopsida; Caryophyllales; Amaranthaceae
Description: Small nucleolar RNA snoR122
Rfam family: Small nucleolar RNA snoR122
Source: Rfam by way of RNAcentral